Aethalodelphis obliquidens (Pacific white-sided dolphin) is the source of this 514-nucleotide long non-coding RNA. RefSeq lists it as uncharacterized. NCBI's taxonomy places the organism in Eukaryota, Metazoa, Chordata, Mammalia, Artiodactyla, Delphinidae. The transcript has 4 exons. The record is from RefSeq and is a predicted model, not a curated record.
CCCUGCGAGCUCCUUGUCUCCACUGGUUCCGCGAGAGUCCUCUCUGGGCAGGCGGCGGGCGCGGAGUCAUGGAUUCGGCUUCGUGCGGAUUGCUGGCUUCACCCGGCGUGUGACGAGCCGUGGGAUCCAGCUCUGUGGAAAACACAAAGCAAACCUGGGAGAGUGGUGAACAGAUGGAUGAGGGACAAAAUCAUGUCCGUUUCUCAAUCUUGAGAACUGCCCAAGGUGACUCUACUUCUCGCUCUCCUUCAGUAACCUCAAAUCUGGAGGAAGUAAAUGAUAUGUACUGAAAGCCCCAUGGUUACUUUUGGAAUGGUCUACUAGAUUUGACCAGUGCUGGAGAGUAUUCAGUGGAUGAUUUGCAGUUACAUCUGCUAAGAUAGACUGAAAAGUCCUUGCAAGAAAGGUGGUGUGGGGAGACCUUCAAGAUGGCAGAGGAGUAAGAUGUGGAGAUCACCUUCCUCCCCACAAAUACAUCAGAAAUACAUCUACACGUGGAACAACUCCUACAGAA